Pipra filicauda (Wire-tailed manakin) is the source of this 363-nucleotide long non-coding RNA. RefSeq lists it as uncharacterized. Lineage: Eukaryota; Metazoa; Chordata; Aves; Passeriformes; Pipridae. The transcript is spliced from 3 exons. The record is from RefSeq and is a predicted model, not a curated record.
GGGCCGGGGGGACUGGAGGGCAUCCAGUCUGGGAACUGGGGGACACUUUGGUCCCCCCAUCCCUCGCUGGCACCGGGGACAUCCCAGUGACCAGCCAGGGCUCCUGGGCUCUCUCCAGCUGCAUUUAGUGGACGUUGGGAUCCUGAAGAUGGCUCAGCCCCCUGUGGUGGAGAAGGUGGUGGGUCCUGUUGGUGAGAAAGGCGUGGCUGCAUCCCUGGAUGGCUGAGGACUGGUGGUGACACCCGUGCCCUGUCCCCCUCCAGUGGCAUGAGGAGAUGAUCAUCCCCGGAAGAACCCCCUGAUUUCCCUCAGAGCCCAGGGGCAUUUCCCCAGAAUGAUCAAUAAAUCCCUUCAGCAAAGCUA